CUGAUUGAAGUCUCUUCUUUAUUUUAUCUAGAAUAAUUAAGGUGUAUUAGCUUUCGGAAGCAGUUGAUGCAAAAAUUUUAACAAUUUUAUAAAACUUUUAUUGAUUCAUCUAUUUCUUAUUUUAAGAUUAACAAAUUAAUCUUAGUAUUGUCGACAAACGUGUAAAACUUGAACAAUUUAGAUACAAAGGUUUCUUUAAGUCACUUUUAAUGAAUCAUACACAUGUUCUUGUUAGUAGUUAUAUUUUCCAUUAUUUCAUGAAUUAUAUCUUCCAUGUGAUUACUGAUAAGAACUUCAUCUAUGCAUGAAUAUCUUUCAUCCUUUAGAAAUAGAGAUAGUAUUCAAUCUUCUUCUACUUUCCAUAAACACCUCCUGCACUUCUUCCUUUAUAGAAUUAUUUUCCACACUGUCCUCUUCAUGAACCUGUAAAAAGAAAAGGCUGAAAUGUCUCUGUCAUGCCUAUCUUCAUAUCUUCCCUUCCUUCAACUUUCCUCUUGGAUUCUCAUUAUGCUUGAUGCCCUUUUAAUUUAUUCAAUCUACCAAACUUCAUUACACAUUUAAAAAUAAGGACCUAAAUGUAAAUCUUACACUAGUUCAGAAAGGGCUUUAGACAUUUGUUAUUUUGGACUUUUAACGUAUGUUAUUUUGAGCUUUUAACGUCUAUUAACCAACCAACGUCAUUACCGGUGACGUCAAUGAGAUGUCGGAUAUCCAUGUAACAGACGUUUAUAAUGACGUCAAUUAGUGCCAUGUCUGACGUGACUAGACGUCGAUAUAGGCUUAACCCGACGUCUAAAGACACAAUAUAGACGUCGAAAUACACAUUAACUUACGUCUAAAAGCACAUAAAGACUUCGAACAUCUCACUAACCGACGUCUAAGGUCACUAUAGACGUCGGUCUUUGCAUUAACCGAUGUCUAAUACAGUCGUUGUGUUUUAGUAUAGUUUUGAUCCUGUCUUUGGAUAGCUUAGUAGCACACUCUGCCUUUGCUAGUUUUCCCCAAAAAAAAACUUGCGUCUUUUGAAUUUGUCAUGACAUUUCAACCCAAAACCGUACCUGGGUUCUUGCUUAGUUCUAUUUUCAACCACAAGAGGGACAAAUUACGGUGAAACGAUAACUAGGCAACGACCUAGGGUCGUUUUUGGGUCGAAACGCCACCAGAAAUCCAAAAGACGCCGCUUUUUCUGGGAAGCAGCUAGCAAAGGAAGAAUGUGGUACUAUGUUACCCCAAGAAAGGAACAAAACUACACUUAAACACAACACAAAGAAAACAAAUUUUAAUCAUUGAACCAGAAGAUAAUCGAUGAAAGACUGAACAAGGUUUAAACGGUAACAAUAAAAAAACACAACCUGGGAUGCAAUGCCGCAAGAGAGAAAAAAUGGAGGAGGAAGACGAUGAUGUUAUCAGAAACAAUAAUGCAAUGCCGCAAGAGAGAAAAAGGAGAGGAGCCGCAAGAGAGAAAAAGGAGAGGAGGAAGACGAUGAUAUCAGAAACUGUAAUGUCGCAAAGAGUCUGUGGUUUAUUUAACAUGAAAUGGGGCGUCGGUUGCUACAGAAACCGGCUUCUAUAUCACAUAGACGUCGGUGAUGUAACUAAUAUGACGUCAAAGAUAACUUUUAAUCUGACUUUUUGAAUGCACAUUAGACGUCCAAUAGCACGGGAGCCAACGUCUAUUGCGCUGAACCGAUUGGCGUUUCAUUUCGUGUUAGGGAAGUAGACGACAGUUGUCCAAGGUGCCGACGUCUAUAACAAUAUAGACGUCGGGGCUCUGUUAUCUGACGUCGAAGUGCCUACGAGUUUGGUGAACAUCAUUAAUUACAUGCACAUAAACGUUGCCCACCGAGAAAUCCGACGUCUAUAUUGCAGAAAUUGAUGUCUUCUCGCCUUCCGGACAUACCAUAGACGUCGGUUUUUUAUUACGUGACGUCUAAGCGCUUGGGAAUCAGGUGAAGAACAUUAAUUGCAGGCAAGUAGACGUCAGUCCCCUAGAAUAACUAACGCUUGUCUUCUCGCCUACCUCAGGCCAUUGGACGUCGGUUUAGGGCAGAACAUAUGUCUUUCCCUAGAAAGCGACGUCUUGAUGACCACCUUAUUUACGAUAAUGCCACCGUUCAUUUGUGGGUGACGUUAAACAAUGUUUUUCACUAGUGUUACUUUUUAUCUCUUAAUAUAAGUAUAUUAUCUCUUCUUAUAAUUACUAAAAAAACCAAGUAGCAUUUUCAUUUAUUGCAUUAUUAAUAACAGCUUAAACCAAAAACAAAAGAAAAAGAUAAAUUUACAUAGUUGCCACGAAUGGCAUAGUGUGAAAGAUAAAAUAGUGGCAUAAUUAAAUGAUUGAAAAUCUGAAAUUGCAAGUAUAUAAUUAGAGGGAAAAAUUAUUUUCAACGAUGAGCAUAAUUAAAACAAGAUUUGAUCCUGUGAUUGUUGUGGUCUGUGAUGAUUCCAAUUGAAACGAAGAAUAAUUAGGUUUUGAUUUUGACUUCACAGUCUACUCUCACCCAAAAGAUUUUGGAAAUAUGAAAUAGUGAAAGAGAUGAGGAGAAAUCUCUCUUGUGUUGAAUAUACACAUAGAGUCCUUUAUUUAUAAUAGAAGAAAUAUGGGUUAAGCCCCAAAAUACAAAUAAGAAAUAUAAACAAACUAAAUAAAAAAUAUAAAUUAUCUAACUAAAGAUAAGAGAUAAAUAUAAACUAAAUAUAAUAUUUCUAACAGGAAACAUGAUAUAUAUCUCAUAAAUUAAGCAUUACACACAGAAUUAAAAGUUAGAAAAAAUAAAAAAAUAAUUUUAAUAUUUGAUGUGCUUGAUCUUGUCUUGAAAAUAAGUGCUUCUCUGGCAAAUUGGAAAGAUGAAAUUAAGUUGAAUGUGAGAUGACAGUGGAAGAUUAUUAUUGUACAUAAAUAAUUAGGAAAAUCUGGGCACGUGGUCUGCCCAUUAAGGAAAGGUGACACUUGAGUCACCAUAUCUCUAUAUUUCGGAUCUCAAUCUCCUCCAUGCCAACAACAACAACUAAUAAUCACAAUUAAUAUAUAUAAUAAAAAUAUACAUACAUAAGAAAUAUAAAUAUAGUCCAAUACCACCAACUAUGUUUUGAUCAAUAGACAAACACUAUGCAAGUUGCACCACCAAAAGACAUCCUUCUUUAACUUGUCUAAAUUUGUAUGCUUUUAUAUUUGUAUUUAUCUAUUAAUUAAGAUAUCAUCUUCAAUUGAAAUUCUUUUCUGUUUCAAAUUGUUAUAUAAUUUAAUGUUCAAAAUUUAAAAAUAAAUAUUAUGAUUAAUUUAAUCCAACUGUAUUUAAUUUUUUUAACAUGUAAUGUUUAAUUUGUUUAUUCUGUUUAUCUCAUAUUUCAUUGUAAUAUAAUUAGUAAUUUUAGUGACAAAAAUUAAUUGGUUAUUAUAGUAACCAAUUUAUAUUUAUAAAGCUAAAAAUUAUUAGUUAAUUAUAAAUAAAAAAAAUGUAAUUAAUUUGUUAAUUGAUUUUUAAAAUUAGUAAUUAAAGUUUUGGAUAUUAAAAGAAUUAGUUUGUGAAUUCGUCACCAGUUAAUUAAAGAGAAAUUUAGAAAUUAAUUCUUUUGGUAACUAAAAUCUUGGUAACUAAUUUUAUAGAUCAACUUACAAACAAUCAUAACUUUUUAUUUAUAAUAGUAGCUAUUUUAAUAAUUAAUAAUUUUUAAUUUUUUAAAUUGAUAUCUAAAUUGGUCAUUAUAAUGACUAAUUAUUUGUUGUCACUAAAUUGAUUAUUAUAUAGAGAUUUUAUUGUAAUGUUUCAGCUUAGAUCUAGAACGGUAUUUAAUACGUAAAAAAAAUUAACAUGGUUGGAUUAAAAGAACUAUAUCUACACAUUUUUAAAAUUUGAGGAGAAAAAUGUGUCAAAGUUUGGGAUAUUAAGGAAUUUCAAGUUCAAGUUUAAAAACUAAAAACAUAUUUAACUCUUAUAUUUAUUUCAGUGUUGAGUAAUUUAUAUAUGUUUUGAAUCUAUGUGUAUUUAUGAUAAAAAACAGAGAUUUUUUUUAGCCCAAAUAUAAAAAUGACAAAUCUCCUACUCAAAUUUUCUCUUUCAUUUUCUAUAUAAAUCUUUGCACAUUCAUCUAAUUCAUUCACACUCAUCUCCUUAUUUUGAUACACAUCUCAAUCAUUGACACUCGUCUCCUCCAUCUACACAAACAUUCCUCAUGCAUACUCUUAUUCUCAUAUUCUUCAUUUACAUUCAUUACCUUUAUACAUUACAUUAAUCUCUUUCAUCCACACUCAUCUCCUUCAUCUACUAUAAUUAUUUUUUUCUAUUUUUUCAUUUGUAUUUUACUUUAUUGAAGAAUAAGUGAUGUUUUUUUUUUUUUAAAGUUAUUGUAAUUAGCAUCUGCCAAACCGAUGCAAAUUUAAUUAAUGUUAAAAAUAUUUAUAGUUUUAGAGUGACAUAAACAUACAACUCAAACUCAAUUAUACUAUUGACUAAUUAACAUUGAUUUCUACUAACAUCGACCAAAACUCAAUGUUAAGUGGAUAUUUUCAUAUAGUGAUUGGAUACAUGGAGUUCUCUAUCUUUACUUCGAAAAAUUGGAUAAUGCACAACUUUAUUAAAUAAAUAUUUUCAUAAAAAAGAAGCAUUGAAAAAAUAUUAGUUAUUAAUGAAUUAUUUUUUAUUAGUAGAAAGACCUAAUAAAUCAAUUACAUCCAACUCUUUCUUUUUUUACAGCAAAAUCAAAUCAAUAUCUCUUAUUUUAUGUUAAAGUUAAAGCAAAUUCAGGAGUAGAAACUAUCUCUAUAUCAUAUCUAUACUUUCUUUCUGUUUUUAUAUUUAUUAUUAUCUCUCCUAUUUCACUUGGAAGUCCACAAAUAUCAAAACUCUCUUUUGUUAUAUAAUCCACUUCGUGGGAUAAUUUUAGGGUUUGUGCCAACACAUUCGAGAGGUCCAUCAAACCACCCAUAACACUAGAUGUAUUUUUUAUUUUCUUUAUCAGAAACAAUUUUUUAUCAACAAUAAUUAAUAUAUAGCAUUAAUAAAGAGAUUAUUUCUGUUUUAUGUUCAGAAAUUUUACCAAUCUUACUUUGAUUGUUUUGGAUUUUUUUUAAAUUAAAAUAAUCAUUAGUACAAACAGCAAGUAAUAAACAAAAGAUUAUACAGGUUUCUAAUUUGGAGAUACAAAACACAUGGCUGUCCCUAGGAUAAGGUGGUCCUAGACCUGUCUUUUGGCCAUCCUACAAGAAAACAUACUAUUUGUAUUUAUAUAAAUUUUAUUAUUAGUUAUGUGUAUUAAUAACUCAAGUAUUUUUAUUUUAUUUUUAAAUAGAGUUCAAACCCUGCUAUAUUUUAAUUUUCUAGAAGGCUUUAAAAAGCUUUUAGAGAAUUGAUACUCGUACAACAUUUUAUAUAAUAUCUGUUUCCUUUUUGUGUGUGUGUUUAUGGCUUCCCAACAUUAUGUAUAACAUGUAAAAGAUGAGCAGAAAGGUGAGAUAUAAAACAUACAUUCAUACAAUGCGGCUGGACGAAUAAAAUUUCUAAAUAUUAAUUGGUUAUUAAUUUUACUUAAAUAAAUUGUCUUUUAAUUUACCAAAUUUAAUAUAUAAUUGGCUACUCACUCUAAUAAGGUUUUUUAUAGUAAAAAACAUAGUAUUAUUAUUAAUUUUUUUGUAACUAUAUUUUAUUUCUUAUUAGAAGUAUUAUUGAUUUUUUUGAACGAAUAAUCUCAUUAAAAUAUUUUACUUGUAGUAAGUUAUAUUUUGAUGGGUAAUACCCUUAUUAGUUUAAAAUGAAAUAUUUCAUUUGAGAUUUAUCUUAAACCUAAAACUAUGUUAGAGUUUCCAUUUUAUCCUAAAAUUAGGUGAAUUCAAUGGUAAGGACACUAUGUCCUACAAAGAAAUGAAAAAAGAAAGCCUAAAACUAUGUUGUGUCCUUCUUCCAUUAACUAUUUAGUCCUUCUUCUUACCACUUUACAUGAAUGGUCCACCAAAUAGGGAAUAUUUUGACAUUUCUUCAUUACUUUUCUUUAUCAAUUAGGCGUGCACCAAUGGCCUUUUCUUAUUAUCAUGGACCCUAAUAUUAGAGGUGUGGUGACCACUAUAGUAGAUUCAAUCAUCUCUAAUUGGUGGGACAAUAGUGUUUCAUACCAUCAUUCUAGAUUGGCCAAUGGCCACUUUAAAUCCAAAGAAUCUAAGUAAAUGAGGGUUAAUUAAAUGAGUUUUCUCUUUUGGAAGGUUGUCAUCCAAAUUUGUUAACUCAUAUACUUAACUCCUAAAGUAUUUGAAGUUCAAUUUUAGGCUUUUAAGAAAAAAAAAUUGUUUAUAUUUCUUUAAAUUUAAAAUAUGUUACUUUUAGUCCUCUAAAUAACCUUUUUUAAAAGAAUAAAAUGGUUUGGAUAAUGCUUAAAGGACUAACCAUCCAUAUUGAAAACACCUUUUUAUCUUGUUUCAUAUUCAAUGUAAAGUAACACGUGUAGCUUAUCAUUUAUAUAACUAUUUAUAUUGCAAUUAGUUUUAACUUGAAUGUUAUUGGAAUAUGGAAACUUUUAUCACCUUUUCUUCUUCUUCUUAAUCCACUUAACUUACAUAUUUAAAAUAAUCAUACAUCAAAUGCAUUAUCUUUUUCGAUUUGUAGCAAGACACAUUCUAAUUCAAACAUUAAAUAAAAUAAGAAAACAAAGUAAGAAACUUUAGGAACUUAUCAUUUUGAGAUCUAUUUUAUUUCUCCGUUUUCUUUUAAUUAAAAAUACUAAUUUUUUUUCCUAUUUUAAAAUUAUAUAUAGUUUUUGUUUUAUAUGCAUUUUUUUUAAAUGAAUGAAGCGAAAAUAAUGCAUAAUUUAUAAAUAAAUAUCAGUAUAUAUAAAAAAUGGAAUAAAAAACGUUUUCUUGAAUUAAUUAAUAAGAUAUAAUUAUUUAACGGAAACACCAUCAUCACCCCAAAGAACUUAUUAAGAUAUAUUUUUAUAUUAUCUUAUUAAGGUAUUAAAAUAUAUUUUGAUAUUAUCUUAAGCGAAUUUAUUCCUAAUUCAAUGUAAUUAUAUUUUAUAAUUAUACUUUACUUAUAUAUUAUACUUUGAUUUUGUUUUUUUUUUAUCGAUAUUCAACUAUCAUAUUAAAUUAUCUGAAAUAUAAAAGAUUGAAAAUAAAAUGAUCCUUAACACUUUUAUAAUCUUGUUGUGCUGCAGAUUGGAUUCAGAAUGGAGAAAUAUAUUUAAUUUCUAAAACUGUACUCGUUUUUACAAAUAGAAUCUGGCCAAAUAUGAAUUAAAAUACUCUUUGCAUCAAAAGAUCAGAAUGAGAAAUAUUUGCAAUAUUUUAAUCACUCACAUGAUCGUGCUCCAAUUAUAAUAUUUAUCAUUUAGAAUAAUAAACUUUGACUCCUGAAAGAAAAUUGGAGAUUAGAGAGGCAUAAUUUGAAAGCCAAUUUUAUAUAUAUGCCGGUGACAGAACAAUUUCUCAGGCAGAAAAGACAAAAGGGUAUUCUUUUAUAUGACAGCAUAUUUCUAAAAGGAAAAUUUUGGAAUAUUAAAGACUUGUAAGUGGUAACUACCUUUUUUUUUUAAUUAUUUUAAUUAAAGUUUAUGUUCCUGUUAAACAAAAUAAAAAAUGGGAACAAAUCAUAAAAGAGCAUAGAAACUAUAUGUGAAAAUAUAAAUAUAGUUUAUGAUUGUGUAUUCACUCUUUAAUUUUGUUAUUUUUGGAUAUUUUACUGGUCAUAUGAAAAAAUAUAAGGGAUUUUUGGUUUUUUGUUUUAUUAUGAUUUUGAUUCUAUACGCACAAUGUUAAAACCUUAGAGCUUUAUCUGAUUUUGUAUAUGGAUUAAGAUCGAUAAUGUCUACAUAUAGUUUAUAAUCAUAUCUUUCCCUUUUCCAAUGUAAAAAAUAGUUUUGCAACAUUAUUUAAUUACAAAAUCAUUAUACAAAUUCUAAGAUGUUUAAAAGUAAUUGCAUAAGAUUUGUUUAUAUGAACUUACAAAAAAGAAAAAAGAAAAAAAUAUAGAAAAAGGAAACAUUAAAAUCAAUUAAAAAAAACAAAUAUAUAAAAAUCAUCAUCCUAUGUUAAUUUCCUUAAAAUAUAACUUUAACUUACAACAAACUAGUUUUAGUUUACAGAUAAAUUUAUUUGAUAUUUAUUUUCUUUUCUUUGAAGUGAUUAUGUGAAGUUCAUCCAAACAAUUUUUUGGACCAUUAUAUGUUAACAAUAAUUUUUUUUAACAAUUUUUUUACAAUAGAUUAUGUGUCACUAUUUUAUUGAUCUACAUAUUUGAAAUGGACUAACCACGAAUUAUCACAUAAACGAUGUAAAAAAGGUGUCAAAAAAAGUUGUUAAAAAGACAUUUUCCCAAUUUUUUAGUGAAAGGCACCAUAUAUAAAACUCGAAAAAUAUAUCUUUAACAAUUUUUUUUUAUUACUUUUUUACAAUCGUUUUGUGACCGUAUGUGAUUUAUCUGUUUCAAAUAUACGAACCAAUAAAAGAGUGACAGUUGUCAAAAAAUUGUUAAAAAAGUUGUUAAAAUAUCAUGGUCGAUAAAAUUGAGCAAAUAUGCAAGUGCAUGACAUAAUUUGAUUUUUUUUUUUUUUAUGAUUGAAUAAAUGAGAAUGUUCGAAGAAAGAGCAACAAAGAAGAGUUUGAAAAAAUUGUAUAAAUAAUUUAGGUCAAUAUUGGCUCUUAGAAAAAAGAGCAGAGACAAAAGAUUUGAUUAGUAAAAAGAAAAUUACGUUUUGUUUGUAUAUAUACAUAUAUAUUGUAGUGGUACGUGGGUGUGUAAUAGUGGUAAGCAUGUCAUGCACGUGCAUGGAAUAGAAUAGAGUCCACAGGACUCUGAAGAGUGAUGAGAAGAAUGACGACAACAAGGUUUGAUAAUUAAGAUUAAUAGUUUGGUCUGAUGAAAGGGUAAUGGAUUAAGGAGAAGAGAAGAGAACAGUGGCAAUAGUUUUUUGUCUUUAACUCUAAGCAAAAGGUUGAAAUAGAAUAAUGAAAAGAAUAGUAAUAAUGAACAAGUCAGAUUUUGAGUUUGGUACAAUAACAGCACUUUCUUUGCUUGUUUUUCAAUUCAAAAAUCAACCCAAAAGAUCCGCCAGAUUCUUGAUGAAAUCUGUCGGAUCUUGCUUUCCAAACUGUCAGAUUUCCUUCCUGGAUUUUCUAUCUUCUUGACCUUUUUAAAUCUCUUCAUGCCACCCUCUUUCAUCACUCUUUUCAUCUUUUUCUCUUCUUCUUCUCUUAUUCUUCUCCUGUUUUCGCCUGCAACUGCACACAUCAUUAUCAUAAUAAUCAUGGGUAUGGCUGCAGACGCACAGUUUCAUGUUUUGGCUGUCGAUGAUAGCCUUAUCGACAGAAUGUUGAUUGAGAGACUCCUCAAAACCUCUUCUUUUCAUGGUAAUUUUGUUAUUAUUUUCUUGUGUGUUGUCCUCUUUUUUGAAAAUUUCAGAUGGGGUGAAAUCCUAUUCAUUUUGGUAUGUUUUGUGAUUACAGUUACUGCUGUGGAUUCUGGUAGUAAGGCUUUGAGGUUUCUCGGUUUGGUUGAAGAUGAAAAGAGAACUGAAGAGCCUCCCACCAUUGCUUUAGAAGCCAAUCAGGUUCAGUUUUACUGCAAAAAAUUUAAAAAAGAUGACACAUAGUUAGAAUGAUUUAUGAGAUCUAAUUAAUCCCUUUUGCUUAUUGUAAUUGCAGGAUGUAGAAGUAAACCUGAUCAUAACUGAUUACUGUAUGCCAGAAAUGACAGGGUAUGAUCUGCUGAGAAAAAUCAAGGUAAAACAUGUUUUAAUUAUGUUAAUUAACUCAAAUGAGAUAUUUGUGUAGCUUUAAUGAUGGCAAAUCUGAAACCAAUCUUGUGAUGUGGAUGUUGCUGGAAUCUUGUAUGAAUAACAAAAAGUUAUUGAUUUGCAGGAAUCUAAAUCUCUUAAAGACAUACCAGUGGUGAUUAUGUCCUCAGAGAAUGUUCCAUCAAGGAUCAACAGAUGCCUAGAAGAUGGAGCUGAUGAAUUCUUUUUGAAACCAGUUCAACAGUCAGAUGUAAACAGGCUCAGACCUCAUCUGAUGAAAUCAAAAGUUAAGGAUGAAGAAGAGGAACAGAUGAAUAACAAAAGGAAGGAAACAGCAGAAGAAGAAGAAGAAGAAAAGCAUUCCCCAGAUAAAAGCAGGACAAAAAUGGAGCCUUAAAAACAUGAUGAAACAUCAUAGAUUGUACCUAAAACAUUUACCUCUCCUCUGCCUCACCAACUAACAAGUGAGAAGAGUAGAUCGCACCUCAAUCAUACUAAAGAAAUCACUAGUAUAGCACCUGACAACAAAUUUCAUUUUUCAUUCAAUUUUCUCUGAUACAUAACUUAUACUUUCUUCUCUCUUAUGUCUCCAAUUCACCACAACAUUUCUUCUUUCUGGUAUCUUAUGUUGGAAGGAUUUAAAUUUAGCUGAAUUCAUAAUAUAUAAAUAUAUAAAGUACAGUGUAAAUUUUAUUUUACAAAUCAAUUCUACGAAUUAGAUUUAAAAAUCAUUUACAAAUUGAUUCUACGUAGUUGAGUUAGACUUAAAAAUCAGUUACACUUAAAAAUCAGUUAUUGUAUCGUAUCACAAUCAGAUUAGAGUCUAUAGAUAAAUUCUUAGAUUCUCAAGUCAUUACAGUUAUUGUUAAAAAUAUAAAACUGAGUAAAAACUACAAAAAUAGGUUGCCAAAUCAUAAUUCAAAUCAAUCCGAAUCUUAGAAUUUCAAAUCAAUACAUAUAAACUAUUUCUUUCAAGCAAACCGUGUUGAAUGGCCUGGGUGUAUUUUAAAACCAAUUAAUAAAAAAUAACCUAUUUAAAACCAAUGUGCUAAUAUUUUAAUAAUGUUUUUUUUAAUUUAUUUAUAGGUGUAACUUUUUUGCCUGAAAAUAUUUCACUUUAAAUAUAAAAGAAAUUUAUAUAUAAAUUUUCUCAUAAAGCUUAAAGAAAUGAGAAACAUCGUUGUCACUGUGAAGUCUUUCUAUAGGAUAAUGAUACUUUGACAUCUAGAAUGUGACAAAUUUUUGACAUCGCCACGUGUCAUAUUCUGGGUGGUCCACAUGUUUUAAAAAAGGAAAAUGAUAGUUUGACACCCUUUGGCUGACAAAUUUUUUACACCAAUGACGUGUCAGCCUCUCGUUGGUUCAUCCUUAAAAAAAUAAAAAAAAUAAAUAAAUGACGUGGAAAAUGGAGGGCGGUAUCAGAAAUUGGAACAAAUCAUUUUCUGAAAUUCAAAUUCAUUCUCAGAUCUUGAAAAUGAAACCUAGAGAGAGAACGAAACCCUCCCAACGACCAAAGCCCCUUGACAACUCCACCGUCGUUCGCCAUUCAAUGGCCACCAGAGGUUCACCAAGAGGCGGCGCCGCCGAUCAUCUUCGCGUCUCUUCCCACCGAUCAUAAGCAGUCUCACUCUCGCCUCUGUCACACUCACCCACCAGUCACCGUUGUCGCCAUUGAAGGAGUUCGGAGUUCACCAGAGGUAAUACCGUUCACCGCAACCGUUCCACCGUUAGCUGCUUACGAAGCCAGAAAACGCCAUUAGAGGUCGGUUUUCGAAGUUCUUUUCAUUUAUUUCGCUAUUGGUUAGCUUUUGUUCGGUGGGUUUAAUUUUUCUAAAACUUUUUUAAGCAUUUAGGUUUUGUCUUGAUAAAGUUGAAUGUUUUUCCGAAGUUUUUGUUGAACAUUUGGUUCAAAAUGUCCUUCAUUAGUGGAAAGUUCAAAAUGUCACCACGGAAGUUUAAAAUCGCAAACAAACCUGAUACUCUGGAACGAGUUCUUUCAACUCAUAAUAAAGAUCCUUCAAUAAUCCACAUAAAAGAAAAAUAAAACUUAGUUUAAAAUUUAUAACCAACUUCACGCUAUAAUAAACAUCAAUUAGUCUAAGGUAUCCUUCAUUCCCAAAUUCCAAAGAGAAAUUAUACUAGAAUACCCAAUUCCAAACUUCACCACAAUAACAGUAUUAGCAACACCCUUCUCAGAUUAAACACUGUUCAGAGUAAACUUUUCACCAAGCACCAACGACAAAGAGAUAAGGAUAGAGGAAAAAAGAAAAUACAGUGUUACUGGAGCUUGGAGUUUGGAGCCAUCUAAUUGAAUUCGCGAGAUUAGAUUGUUGACCCUGUCAUUCCAUUGUAAAAGUUAAAAUCAGCAAGUAACAUAAACAAUAAACAAUAAACAAACACAAACAACGCCAAAAACAAAACAGUUAGUUACUGUUUUCCUCAGUUACCACGCGAGAGCGAAGCCGAGAAAGUGCAACUUCUGAAGAAUGCCAUUUGCACUAGUACAACAACAACCUAUACCGGCUUUCAGUGUUGGGAACACAUGAAAUAAGCACUAAAAAUCUUUCACAAAAAAUCGGAUGAAGCACAUGUCGGACGAAAUGUUCAACAAAAACUUCGAAAAACAUUCAACUUUACCCAGACAAAACCUAAAUGCCUAAAAGAGUUUUAGAAAAAUUAAACCCACCGAACAAAAGCUAACCAAUAGCGAAAUAAAUGAAAAAAAGCUUUGAAAACCGACCUCCACUGGCGUUUUCUGGCUUCGUAAGCAGCUAACGGUGGAACGGUAUUACCUCUGGUGAACUCCGAACUUCUUCAACGGCGACAACGGUGGCUGGUGGGUGAGUGUGACAGAGGCGAGAGUGAGACUGCUUAUGAUCGGUGAGAAGAGACGCGAAGAUGAUCGGCGGCGCCGCCUCUUGGUGGACCUCUGGUGGCCGUUGAACGGCGAACGACGGUGGAGUCGUCAAUGGGCUUUGGUCGUUGGGAGGGUUUCGUUCUCUCUCUAGGUUUCGUUCUCAAGAUCUGAGAAUGAAUUUGAAUUUCGGAAAAUGAUUCGUUCCAAUUUCUGAUACCGCCCUCCAUUUUCCACGUCAUUUAUUUAUUUUUUUAUUUUUUUAAAGAUGAACCAAUGAGAGGCUGACACGUAAUUGAUGUCAAAAAUUUGUCACCCAAAGGAUGUCAAUCUAUCAUUUUCCUUUAAAAAAUAAAAUGACAGAACAUGGAUUCAAUGUGUAGUGACAGACCUGGUAUCAAUGUACAAAUAACGCAGAUUCAAAAAUGUUCUUCUCGUGCUAAAAAUUAGCCUAAACUACCCACUUAUUUGUACAUUAAUACCAGGUCUUUCACUACACAUUGAAUCCAUGUUCUGUCAUUUUAUUUUUUAAAACAUGUGGACCACCCAGAAUGUGACACGUGACGAUGUAAAAAAUUUGUCACAUUAUGGAUGUCAAAGUAUCAUUAUCCCUUUCUAUAAUAUGUGGUGGUAACGAGUAUGAGACAAUUAUUACCUAAGAAUGAACUUUUUUUAAUUAAAAUAUCUGAUUAUAUUUUUAUUCCCUAUAAAGUAAGUGAGAUUUGAUUUUGGUUUUAUGAGUAUCAGAAAAUUAACAUUUUAGUGUUGGAAAAAGUCUUCCACUAUAAAUAAAUAAUGCUUAGGUAAAAGAGAUUUGGCAUUGAUAUACAUACACUUUAUAUGUCAACUUUAAGGUUUACUUACGUGGAUAAAUUUAAAUUUUAGGGUUUUAUUAAUAAUUUUGUUUAAAUUUUAUUUUAUUAAUUUUAGGUCUAGUAAUAUUUAAUUUGAUUUGACAGAGAGAUAAAAUAAGGAUGAGUAGUUAUGAUUUUCUAUUUAUCUAGGUAGAAUAUUAUUUUAUAAUAGAAUAAACAGAUUUUAUUUGUAAGUGAGUUGAUAUUUUAUUAUCAGUUUUUAGAGUGUUUCAUCCUACACCUCCGAACUCUCAUCCUGCACCUUCAAAAAUUACCAUUUUAACCUUAAUCAUCAUUAUUUUAAUAUUUUCUCUUUCUUCAUAAAGUCAUUCUGCACCCUCCUCUAACUUUUUCUCUUUCUUAUUAAAGUCAACCUACACCCUUCUAACUUUUUCUCUCUCUUAUUAAAGUCAUCCUAUACCAUUUUAAUAGAUUUUAAAAUCUAUACAGUUUUUUUCUAUAAAUUUUUUAAAUUUCAUUUUGAGUUUUAAAUUUAAUAAUUAUUUAAUUUAAUUUAAAAUUUUAAUAUUAUUUAAUACACGUUUAUAUCUUAAUAAUUAUUAAAGUAUAAUUUUUAUUCUUAUAAUAGUUAUGUUAAAAAAAUAAAAAUAAAAGUAACUAAAAUAAAAGUAGUAAUAAUAAAUAUUAAAAAUUUUGUAAAUAAAAUUAUAUACAAAUUUUUGAAAUAUGUNNNNNNNNNNNNNNNNNNNNNNNNNNNNNNNNNNNNNNNNNNNNNNNNNNNNNNNNNNNNNNNNNNNNNNNNNNNNNNNNNNNNNNNNNNNNNNNNNNNNNNNNNNNNNNNNNNNNNNNNNNNNNNNNNNNNNNNNNNNNNNNNNNNNNNNNNNNNNNNNNNNNNNNNNNNNNNNNNNNNNNNNNNNNNNNNNNNNNNNNNNNNNNNNNNNNNNNNNNNNNNNNNNNNNNNNNNNNNNNNNNNNNNNNNNNNNNNNNNNNNNNNNNNNNNNNNNNNNNNNNNNNNNNNNNNNNNNNNNNNUAGAUUUUAAAAUCUAUUAAAGUAGUGUAGGAUGACUUUAAUAAGAGAGAGAAAACUUUAGGAGGAUGUAGGUUGACUUUAAUAAGAAAGAGAAAAAAUUAGAGAGGUGCAGAAUGACUUUAUGAAAAAAGAGAAAAUAUUAAAAUAAUAUUGAUUAAGGUUAAAAUGGUAAUAUUUGGAGGUGCCCGAUGAGAGCUUGGAGGUGUAGGAUGAAACACCCCAGUUUUUAUUUGUAUUUGGCCCAAUGUCCGAUUUACAUCUAUUUAAAGAUUAUCAAAAUUUAAUGAAAAUAACCUAGAAUGGAUUGAAGUGUAAAAUUUUUUUGUGUGGAUCACUGUUUUUUAACACUUUUUCCUUAAUAAACCCAACAAUAUGUAGUGUGACUGUUAUUAGUAAGUUAACAAAAGUUUUACUUAGUGUUUUUAUCAACAAAUGUAUUUGUCGAUAAAUAACAAAAAUAAAAAAUAGCUGUAUUAAAAUUGCGAGACUAAAUUUUAUAACUGUAAUUAUUAUUUUUAGUAAAGGAAUACUUUAAUAUAAUUGGACGAGAGAUUAUUAACAAUCUGUUUACCCAAAUAUAAAUCCUUUCAUUUACAAAAUUCAUUAGCUUCAGUCUACAAGCACGAAGUAAAAAUAUAAUAGUUUCUUACAUGAAAAUUUGUUACAUAUAUUUAUCCUAAUUAUCAAUUGAUUUUUUUUUUCAGUGGUACCAUUUUAAAAAAGAAAAAUAAUAGAAACUAUUUAUCAAAAUCAUAGCCAAAAAUACCAUAAUAAAAUAAUAGAAUGGAGCAUAAACAUAAAGAUAUUCUAAACGCAACAAGAGUAGUAAGAUUUCAAGAAAACUUUCCCUUUUAUAUUUGGGGUGAAUGCAUUAUAAAUGCAGACUACUUGAUUAAUUUGACACCAUCCUUCAUUCUUGAUAGGAAAACUCCAUAUGGGUUGAUCCAUCGCAAACUUCUACCUAUGAUCACUUGAUAGUCACUUUCAUAUGCUCAUAAUCAACAUUAAAAAAAAAUAGAUAAAUUCAAUAGUAAAAGUCAUAAAUGCAUUUUUGUUGUUGGCUAUUCAGAAAAAAAAAAUGGUGUUUGACUUAGAAAAAUAUGCUUUUUUUUCUUCUUGAUUUUAAUUGAUUAUCUCAUCAGUAUAGUCUAUACUUUCUCUGUGAAGUACAUUUCUUUGAGAAUUAAGGAUGUCAUCAAAAUUAUAGUUGUUUAAAGUAAACUUAGAAAGGGUUUUCAUCAAAUACUUAAAUCUUUCUAUCUAUUUUGGAUAAUUCUCAUAAUUAGGUGCACUUUUCUUACAAUCACAUACAAGGUUUUUGUGGGCAUUUUUUAGAGUUAUAAAGUUAGUUUUUAGAUUUUUAUUUAUAUUUGACCUAUAAGCACUGGACGUAAUAACCCUUUUUUAUAUCUGACACUUACAAGUUAAAUAUAAAUUUUGAUCAUUUAAUUACAAAAAUACCACCACACUUUUUUAACUUAUAUGUCACAUGUAAAUUCAGUGACAUAAUAAGUUAUUUUUGUGUUAGUAUAAUUAUAUUUAUAAUGUAUAUAACCAUUGCUAUUAUACAAUUUAUAAUAUCUUAUCAUCAUCAUAAAUGUGUUUUAAUAUUUGAUUGAUAGAUUAAAAGAUUAUUAUAAAAGUUUGUUAUAUAUAAUAUAUAUAAAAUCUAUUGUUUUAAAGAUUGAAAGGUGAGAAGAAUAUGGAACCAAGUAAUAACCAAUCCUAAAAUUUUGAUGAAGGAUUCACUGGAAUACAUCCAAGAUGAUAAAGUUCUUAAAAGGCAAGUUUCUUUAACAAUUUCACAUCAAAGAUCUAAAUCUUUGAGAAAAGCUCCUUUUCAAAGGAUUGUUUUUGCUCUACAAAUAUUUUAUUCAUAAAAAUGGUGACAACCCUUCUUAUCCAUUGCCUCAUGAAAGCUUUAGAAAUUAUGUCUUAUAUUAUAACAAUCCAUUGCAAAGAAACUCACAAAGAAUUAUGUGAAUGUUAAUUUAAAUAGAUUUUUUCUCAAUAAAAAUAAAGCAAGAAGAAUAUCUUUUACUAAGGUUGAAUGAUGAUGAAGAUAUGGAUGAAGGAGUAGAGGUUUGUGUCUAUUAUAAUAAUAAUAAUAAUAAUAAUAAUAAUAAUAAUAAUAAUAAUAAUAAUAAUAGGAAAUAUUUAUACUCUAACUUUCAAGAAUUGGGAAAAAAAUAUUAUAUCUUGAGUGAUAAGGGGAAAACUUUCUUCGAAUAAUCAUAAAUGACAUAGUAAUGAUACCAUUAUGAAUGUUUGUCAUCCAAAAAAUAACAAGUUAUGUGUUGUUCUUGAAUUUGAAAAGAUUAAAAGGUGAAAAGGACCUAUAAUGGUUGACUCAAUGGAAGAGUUUCAAACUAUAUUAAUUAGUGUCAUUAGUCUUUUAUUUCAGAUCUAAAAAGAAAGAAUAAAGUUAAAAAGCAUUUCAAACACUAGUAAUCGGAAACACCAAAAAGGGACUACAGAGACUUGAAGGCACCUUCUUCAUAUUUUCUUUUUAUUCAAUUUUCUUCUUUAAUUCUUUGUUCUAGCUGAUGAAUCAGUGAGGCGUGAGAGAGGACCUCAUGUUAUACAGAUCUUGUACUACAGAUCAUACCAUAUGAAAAUCAGUAAGGAUUGUCAAACUUAGUGUUAAAAUAGACUUUACAGAAAAACUUGAAUAUCAUCACAGAUUCAGAACUUCUUGAGAAAAAUUUAGACACGUGAAGUAAACUUACUUCCACAAGCAAUAUGAACCAUGGAGCCAUUGUUAGAAAAUGGUGAUUGACACAAACAAUUGGUUGCUGCCUUCUUCCCCAAACAUCAAAUAUAAGUCAUGCAGAAUAAGAAAGUGGAGCUAGAGGAAAGUGAAGAAUAAGGCAAAUGAUCGGGGUGGACUUUUAAGCUUUUUGGUAAUCUAAAUGAAUUCAUAGAUUGGGGAGGCCAGAUAACAUGCACUUAAGAAUAUACACGGAAAUUGGAUUAGUGAACUACCACCAAGUCCUUGGCUCAAUUAAUAUACCUGAGAUCGGUUGGAUUAAAGGCAGAGACAAUAGCUAAUGGGAUAUGAGCAAUUUUUGACCAUUCUUCACCAUGUCCUCUAGCACAUCUUCCUUCUAGCAUUGAGCAAUUAUAUAUGCAGAGUCGUUGUAAAGAUACAAGAUUCCGAAUUCCAUCAGGUAUUGAUUUCAAACAAUAGCAAUUACUGAUUUCAAGACUCAAGAGUGAUGAGAGAUUCCCUAUCCAGUCUGGUAAACUGUUGCCACAAUAUCCAUCUAUUACUAGUCUUUUUAUUGAAUGAUGUGGCUGCAGGCCUUUCAAUAUCUUUUCGUCUUUUAUUUUAUUUUCAUCGUCCACCCAUCUGUUUUCUUCUUCCUUACGUCUAUUUUUAACAGGAUCCUUCCGAUAUUUAGUCUCACGGAACCCCCACCGUAAUUCCAAAUCUUGAAGAUGUUGCUUCUCCAGUAAUAUGUUUGCAGACUCAACCACUGCAGCAUUUUCUCGCAGGGAAUCCAAGCAUUUAAUUACUAAUUUUCCUCUAAGGUUGUUUAGCCCACUCAAUUCACUUAUAUCAACGUUUUUACUUUCAGAGUCCAAUAUAAAAUGUGUCAGUGUUUGAAGAUUGGUCAAUUGUCCCAACCCACAUGGCAUACAUCUCAAUUCCCCACAAUCAUUCAAUUCAAGAUGCCUAAGACUUUUGUUGAUAUCUGAGGGUAAUUCUUUAAAUUUGCCACACCGAGAUAGUUUUAAAGUCUGCAAGUUAUGUAGGCUAGUAACAUCUGGUGGAAGACUUACCAGAAACCUAUUAAAUGAAAGAUCAAGAUAUCUCAAUUGCUUCAACUUUCGAAUACUAUCUGGAAUUGUUAUCAAAUGCAACCCACAGAGUGUUAACACCCGUAGGCACUUUAUGCUUAAGAGAAAAGGAAAAUGAAGACUUGGCGGAGGACCCAAAUUUUGUCUUCCAUAAAGUGGCUCUGGCUGUCCAAGCAAAAUAAAUGUCCUUAACUUGUUGGAAGAUGAUGAUGUUUUCUCUGAAAAAUGUAAUGAAGUACAAGAGGACAAAUAACGUGUUCUGUUUUCAAUGUGCUCUUUUUUUCCUUCAACAAAGGCGUAUUCUUUUCCAACAACAAGCUGUGCUAGAUCAUGUAUCAGGUCAUGCAUUUUACAAGUAAGAAUGUCACCACAAUCAUCUAAAGUCACAUUUUGGAAAAGUGACAUUGACAGCAAAUUCAUGAAGUACUCAUGACCAACAUCUUCUUCACAUCUAUUGUCUCGUGAUGGUUGAAUGAACCCCUCAGCCACCCAUAACUGAAUGAGUGUUUUCUUGUCAAACUCAAAAUCUUUUGGAAACAAUGAACAAUAAGCAAAACACUUUUUCAAAAAUGAAGGAAGAUGAUCAUAACUCAGUUUAAGGAUUGAAAAAAUGUUGUCCUUGUGUUGAUCUAUCUUUGAAAACUCAACUUCACUAAAAUAUUGCCAAUCACUCCGACCCAAGUUUCGAGAGUACAAGAGGCUGCCAAUAGUUCUUAUGGCAAGGGGAACCCCAGCACAUUUUUUAACAAUAUCCCUUCCCAUGGCUAACAAUUCCAUAUCAUUUGGUUCUUUCCCCCCAUCAAAAGCCACUCGAGAGAAUAGCUUCCAAGAUCUUUCUAAAUCAAGACCUUUCAAGAAAAGGGGUGGAUGUGUGGCUACUAUUUUCGCCACAGUCCUACUACGUGCUGUUACAAUUAUGGCACUUCCUUUACCUCCUUCCACGACUAAGCUCUUGAAUUUAAGCCACAGUUCCCUAUCCUCAUUCCACACGUCAUCCAGCACAAGUAGAAACUUUUUUCCACGAACUUUGUUUCUAAGAUCUUGCUGUAGUUGCUCAAUCUCACUAUUCUUAUCAUUCCCAAUCAUCUUUUCGGCUAUUUUGCUGAUGUCAAAUUCAUCUGAGACACACACCCACAUUUUCUGCUCAAAAGAGCAUUGGACAGCAUUGUCAUUAAAAACAAGUUGAGCGAGGGUAGUCUUACCUAGUCCUCCAAACCCAACUAUGGCUAAUACAGACACAUUGUCUAUCACACUCACUUUGGUGUCAAGCAAAUAACUUUCAAGAAGUUUCUUUUCCUCCUUUCUCCCAAUAACAUCAUCUUCUCUCACAAAAGAAUAAGUUUGUCUCUGCCUCCUAUAUGCAAUUGGAGUCUCCAUAGGGCGGUCAGUCAAUUGCAAAGUAAUCUUGUUUUUAGCAAUAGCAUCUAGCCUCUUCUGGAUUGCUUUCAUUUGAUGACCUAAUUUAAAACUAUAGACAAUUUGGUUUUCUUGGGAGAAGAAAACCUGUAUCUUUCUCAAGAUUUUUCUAGCACCAAUCACUUUUCUUUUCAUUGCUUCAGAGGAGAUAUCAUUGAGCAAGUCAUCUGCAUCAUAAAGUACAUCUUUCAGCUCCUCCAACCAAUUACUGAUUUGAAGGUUGUUGGCCUUUCCCUCUGCAUCCAGGAGCACAGCCUUUAUUGCAGAUACUGUGCGCUUCAUUUGCUGUACGUCAUCUUUGAGAUUCCAAAUGAUUCCAAACUCCUCUUGAGCAAAAGAGUUCAAGUUUUGUAAUACUAUCUGAGCAAUUACUUCCAUCCUUUGCCAGAUGAAGUUUGGUACAAACAUUAGUAACAACAAUGUUAGGGAUCAAACAAUUUCACAGCCAAAUGUAGUUUUGUACAGCAUUAGAUAUCAAAUAAUUUCACAUCCAUAACAACAAAUGAAUCCUUUAAAAAAUAAAGUGUGGCCAGCUACAUGGGUGACAGCCACCAUAAUGUUCUGUUAUAAAUCAUAUCAUUUUGAUUGUGAGCAAUAUCCUCACAGUGGGUGUUACCUCUCCUGAAAAAUUCUUCUCCAUACACACAAUCAGGGAAUCAAACCCUUUAAUUUGCUUAAAGAACUCAGUUAUCUACGAUUUGUGUUGAUAUGUUAUAAAUCAGAUUUGAGGAGAAAUCAUUGACCUUGGAAGUCAAAUAGUCUUGUUGCAUAUAACAAGAAAGGAGCAGACAAAAUUCCAGUUAAGAUGAUAAAAAAAAUCAACGAGUUCUACUAACGUUUUCAAAACAUAUUGAUUAACUGAAUAGGACGCGAUUACAGAAACCAGAAUUAAAAUAAAAAAGUAAAAAUGAUGGGUGUCUAUAUAUGUUGGAAUUGAGAGAGAAAAUUCCAGAGUAAUGAUAUUAGUUGCAUGGUUUAUGAUGAAAUUAAGUGGUGCUAUCUACAAUAGAACAUCUUAUUGGUUGAAUACCUAAGAAAGUUAGAAUUAGAGAGACAGGGAGAGAUAGCUGACCUGCUUUGGAAAAAGGAGUGUAAAUGCAGGGGCAACAGUUGUGGGCAAGUGUUGAAUAUCAAGAGAUAUGAGGAGCCACCCAUAUAAGGGAAAUAAAAAUAAUAUAAUAUUAUUUUCACAAGUAACAAAUUUUUAUACAUACUUUAAAUUCAUUCUGUACCUUUUAACUAGCAUGGUUUAAACUAACACGUAAUCUGUGCAUAUGUUUAGAGGAAUGAAUACUUUAAUAAAAAUUAUGUAAUUAAAUAAAAGUUUACCAUACUGUUUUAUUAUAUAUUGGUUUUUUUUCAAGAUUGAACUUUAUAAAUAUUUUGUUAACUUUGAAACAAUGUAAUGUUUUAAAAAUUAAAGAUGAGAUAAACUAUUACUGAAAUUUAAAUACAAAAAAUUAGUUUAAUAUUUUAAAUAUCAUAUCUUAUUAUAUUUUAUAUAUAUAUAUAUAUUGCAAAGUAAAAUAAAUACAUAAUUCAAGCGCACAAUAUUUAUUUUAUAUUUAAGUUGGAAAAUAUCUCAGGAAAAAAUUUAUUAGGAAUGAAUCCAACUUUAUUUGUGUCAAUAUAUUGUGAUUGUAAAUUAAUAAUUGCUAUACCUAAACAUAAAAACUACGAUUAAAAGAACAAACAUAUAUAAUUAAACAUAAUUUGGUGAAACAACUAUUAAAGAAUGAGAUAUUUUUCAUUCACUGUCUGAAGUUAGAAUGUGAAAUCUAGCACAUCCUUUAACGAAAUCCUUGUGAAGAAAUAUGGUUUUAGAAUCAUUUAGGAGAAUAAGACUUAAACCCUUUGCAAGUAAACAAAUGAUAGUAACUCAACUUUUAUGAUUGAAGAUCCAUGAAUAAGGUUUAUAUAGGUAAAAAUAAAUCACUUGUUGGUUCAUAUAACACUAAAUUGAUUUUAAAUCAAUUAUGUACAUUCAUAUGGUGUGUGUCAAUGUGUUAGAUACUACAUUAUUGAAAGGUUAGACUUUGUAAUUAAAAUCCUAGUGUAAGAAUUUUAGUCUAACAAAGUUUUUAAUGUUUUUCAUAUCUUUUAUGGGUGGGUUGUAUGAUUUGCAACAUACGCUUGAUUAAAUUACCUACAUGAGUGUCGAGUGUGGUGACUUGCAUGAGAUCUUGGAAUAAUUUUUAGAACACUUGUAAAUACUAGACACACGCAUCGCCUAUUAAGCACAAUACAACAAUAUAACAACAAAAAUUAUGAUGAUGUAUUGUGAUUGAUAAACCGCUAAGACAUAUUAUUGUUCUUGGUUUAUAUAACUUAUUAUGUCAACUACAAUAUAUGUUAAGUUUCUCAAUAAGAGUACAUAUUCUAUAAAGGUUUGCUUUUAUAAAAAAAGAGAAAGAGAGAGAGAAAAUAUUACAUAUAGAGAGAUUUUUUAUAUUUUUUAUUAUGAUAAAAAAAAUGGGAGAAAAUUUUUAAAUCUUAAAUGUCUUAAGAAAUUGUUUAAUGCUUUCCUCUUUUGUAGUACGUGUUUUUGUAGGUUUAUUACAAAUACUUUAAAAAAAUUGAAUACCAUAAAAAAAAAGGAGAAAUUGUUGACUAAAGAAAAAGAUGUUGGAAGUUUUUUAGUUUAUUUGUAUGGAAGUUUUUUAGUUUAUUUGUAUGAUGAUACUAAGUAAAAAGAUGAAAUAGAAGUUAAUGAUUAUUUGGAAGGCUUGUAUUUUGUUUGUUGUAAUGUUUUGAUUUGUAAUGUCUUUAUAAUAUUCUUGUAAUACUUGUUAAAGUAUUUUAGCUCAAGUCUAGAGAGUCAUAAAGUAACAACAUUUUGAAACACUAAGGAAAAACAAUUUUUUAAAUAUACACGAUGAUAAUCGAUUAUCACCUAUGACAAUUAACUAUUGCAUAAAGAAAUUAUUUUCGAAAAAUAGUUUUCGAUUAUAACUUAACUUUACAUAUUGUUAACCUAAUUCCAAAAUUUGGCUUUAUAAACGAAGUAAGGAAUUCUCUUUCAAAAAUAUAAGAGUUGGGUUAUAAUUUUAUGUGAAAAACUUUGAAAGCCUUUUGUGGAUAGAACAAUAACUUUAAUCAAGUGUGAUCUUGAGUGACUGAGUACAAAUGUUCUUGUUAAGUGAAACUAUUUAUCCUUUGUGUGACUCAAAUAAAGUGUUUAUACCUUGUGGAUUUUAUUCUUUCGUCUUUUGUAUAACUCAAGAGGAGUGUUUAAUUUUUUGUAAUAUUAAAAAAAAUGUUUAUUUUCUUAUGGUUUAAAUAAAAGUGUUCUUAAUAUCUUGGGAUUCUUCGGGCAAAGCAUGUAUUCUUUUUUAAACUAUUCAUUCUAUUAUUGUUUGUUAUUUUAGUUUAUUUUUAAUUGUUAGUUAAUUAUUAUUAAGAGUGGUUAAGAAUGACUUCUUUCCAUUCCAUUAUAAAAUUGUACAGUAUUAUACUAUUAACUUUUGCUUUUUUAUGUUUAUUUUUGUUAAAAUAGGGUAUUAUUAUUAAUCCGACAGCUUUUAUUUGUUGUCUGUAAUUUUGUUUUUUUAAAUACAGUUAACUUCUAUUACCAAUAAUACCUGCAAGGAUAUUUUUAAUUUAAUACUAAAGAAAUUAUAGAAUACUAUAAUUAAGAUUAGUAGUAUUAACAAAGUAGGGGUUACUGAUAAUAAAAUUUGACAGUAUUAACUUUGAUAGAUAUAGCAAGUUAAUUAAUUAGAGUGUUCUUACAGUGGAAUGGUGGUUAUACUCGUAAAGCAUAAUUUUGAAAACUUGAUGUUGAAGAUGGUGUCUGAUAGAAAAUGAAAGAAAGAAGAAAAAGCAAAGAAUGAUGAAAGCAUAAAAGAGAUUUUAUAUAUGAAGUGAGAGUACAAAAGCAUCAUAGACAUUCUGGUUACAGAUUCAUGGAAAGAGAGAGAGAAGAUGAUUAUUGAUGGAGGCACUACAAAGAUGAAAGUCUUUUAUUUAGGAGAUAGAUAAUAUGCUACGUUGCAUGGUUUAGAAGUGACCAUUUUCUUCAACGGGUGGGUGCUUACCAUAAGGGGGCUUAUGGUAUGGCUUUGGUUUGGGUUUAGGCUCGUAAAUUGGUGGUCUUGGCUUGUGGAUGGGUGGCUUAUACUUACGGGGUGGUUUGUAGAAGCUGUCAGACUCAGAUUCAGCAGCAAGCCCUUGAGGGGUCAGAAUCAGAGCCAAAAGGAACAACACAACCAAAGUUAAGAGAGAAUUAGCCAUCUUCAUUCUGUUAUUGCUUCUGCAUCUUACUCACUCAUUCAUCUCCUUUUAUAGUCAGCCUUCACGCACGUCUCAAUCCAAUUCAUUUAUCGUUCCCUCUGUCACUGUAUCAAAUGUCAAACAUUUGGUGUGCAUUUUUCUAUGCCCACUGGUCCCAUUUUGUAUCUCUCCCACUUAAUAAUACCCUCUGUGUUUAUCUCUCCCACUUACUUUUUCUUUAUUAUCAUACCAUUCUCCAAACUUUAUCGUUAAUUCUCAUCUGAAUUCGACCACUGUCGGAUACAACAAAACAAAAACACUUUCUACUACUCAUCUAGUAUACUCUCUAAUAAUUACAGAACCAUCUCGGAUCCGGUUCCCGGAUUGUUGCCGACAACACUAUUCGGCCCUAUGACACAUUUAAUUUAUUGAAUUCGUGACAAAAAUUAUCUCUGUAAUAAAAUUUAAUAUAAAUUUUUUAAUAACGUGUAUAAAUAAAUAGGAAAUGUUUUUUAAUAAUUUUUUUACAAUAUUAUUUGUGAUUGAUUUAUUUUAAAUAUUUUUUUUUAAAAUAAAUUUAUAUAGAUCAAUAAAACAAUAAAAUGUGACUGUUGUCAAAAAAAUUAUUAUGGAAAAGUUGUUAAUAGUCUAAAUAAAUAAUACAAAUGACAUAUUAUUAUUUGUUUGGACCAAUUUUUGUGAUUGUGACUUUUGUUUUAAUAGUAAAAUUAUUUUUUUGGUUUAUUCUUAAUUGAUCAAUCCAUUUUAUUUUGAAUAGGAAUAAUAGUUAACCUUCGUGAUUGUUUACAACACAUUUUAUUACAUACUGAUACAGUUGUUAUCAUGUGAUAUUGAUUCACACGGAUGAAUAUUUAUAUGAAGACGAUUAUUUGAUAAUGUAUUUUUAUUCUAAUUAUUUUAAUUUAAUUAUUUUUUAUUUUUCUGAAGUUCUAACUCAUAUCAUUAUAACUUUUUCUUAUUUUAUUAUCUUUGUCCUGUAUUCAAUUAAUUAAAUAAAAACAAAAAACAAAUAUCAUUAAACAUAAUAAAAUAAAAAUAAAUAAAAAAUCACUUUACUUAAAACAAAAUUAAAACUAUUUGGGUCCAAAAAAAAUAUUUUGAAUUGAAAUUUUCAUAAACAUGAUGACUUCACUUAAAAAAAAUGUUGAAAUUGUAGCAUUUCAUAAGACUUCAACUAUAAGAAAACCUUCAUAAGUAUAAUAACUUCACUUUAAGAAACUAAAAAAAAGAAUAGAAGUCGUUAUAGUCGUACCAUCUAAUAUGACUUUAACCCAUAUGUACGACUUAUCUUAUUGUGUAAAAUUUUAAAAAUCUAACUUCUUUACAUAAAUACAAAAGUUGAUUAAUUCCUUUUGGUUAAUUAACCUGUUUACAAAUACUUCACUACAAUAUUGGUAUGUUGAUAUCAAAUUCAGUCAUGGAAUAGUUUAAAUAGAGACGUAGUUUAAAUAGUUUUUUUUUCUACUAUAAUUUAUCCAUAUAUUGUAUAAAGACAUGACAAUUAUUGAGAAAAUGAAAAAGUUCAUUGUCUAAGAAAGAUAAAGAAAAUGAGCUAUAUGAUUAAGAUAUUAUAAAGGAUGGAUAAUAUUUUAUGUAAUAUUUAUUACUACACAAAAAAAAAAAAACAUUAGAAUUAAUGAAUGGCUAUAGUUGAAAGAAAUAAAAGAAAGUAGUAAUAGUAGUGGAGGAAGAAAAAGAACAUAAAAAUCCAUUAUAAUGGCUAGUUUUAUUAGUGUCUCCUGUAUAAGAAAUGAAAAAGUGGAUCUAAAACAAGAGAGAUAAGACACAACACUUUGAUAAAGCGACAAGAAGCCUAUCUUGUUUAAAUCUCAUUUUGUUCUCCAAACAUCUUAUUUGUUAUAAAAACUCUCAUUUAGUAUAUAUCUAAUGAGUGAUUAUAUGCUAGUGAGCUUUCUUUUUGUAACUUGUCUUUGAGACCUAAAAACCUAAACUUAGAAGUAAGUUUAAAUAUCUAUUUUUGAGUUUUACACUACAAAAACUACAGUAAUUAACGUCCACAAAAACCCCACGAAGAAAACAAAAGAAUAUGAAUCACAUAAUCGAACAAAAAAAAAAUAAGAAAAUUUUAUCUUAGAAGUCCCACGUUAACUUGAUUAAUGAUCAAUUUAUAAUAUAUAAAUGGAUAUAAAUCUCAUCGUACAAAUAGUUUUUUAGAAUUGAGUUAGAUUUAAAAUCUGAUUUUGAGUACUGACAAAGAUAAACACAAUAUACAAAUUCACAAAAUGGAUAAUGAUAUUUAGACAACAUUUUUUUGAUAACAUUUAAACAUCACCUACGUGUCAUUUUGUUAUUGGUCCAGUGGUGUUUAGAUAGAUAAUCCUGAACACGCAACCUCCAGUCAUGUUUUUUCCUUUUUACAUGUGUUCUUUUUUCCUUUUAUAAAGGGGUUCACCUCUUUGGCCAGUGUAACUUUUCAAUACAUUAUUUCUCUCCCCUUUCUUGUUUGUCUUCCUUUAGCUAUGCAAGACAUGUUCUUUUUUGCUUUUCUUUUUAGCCUAAUGGUUCACACUGUUCUUGUGUCAGUCUAUUAUGCACAACUUUAAAUAUAAAAUUUAUAUUUUGAAUUAUUUUAGAUUAUAAAAUAAAAAUAUAUAUUUUAACUUACAAAAUCCAAAAUAAAAAUUUUAUAUUCUAAAAUAUAUUAUUCAAAUUGUAUAUUUUAAAACUCAAAAUAAACAUAUGUAUUGUUCUUACGAAUCAUGUAUUCUUGGAUUGAGAAAACCUGAAACGUGUGAUGUUAUGUUAUGGGAGAGCAUGAGUACCAAAGGAGGAGUUUGUGGUUGAGAGAAUAAUGAGAGAAAAUUUAGUGUUUUCUUUUUUUUCUCUUAAUCUAAUCUAAUAACUAUAGAAAAUUCACUAUUUUAGUAACCUCAAUUUUACAUGCAUUCUAUUUCUUCUACUUAGACCCUAUUAAACUCCUCAUCCAACAUAUUAAUUUCAUCUAUACCAUAAAAAGGUAAUUAAUUAAAACACAAAAAUAACAUAAAUAGUCACAUGCAAAAUUUAAAAUUAAAUCAAUAUUAUGAAUUUUCUAAGACUUAAACACUAAAAUUGAUAAAAAAAAAUAAAAUAAAAAACAAAAAUCAAAAUUGUGACUUAAAAAAAUGAAAUAGUAAAAUAAGUAUUAAUAUAUUUUAUUUUUAAUAAGUUAAAAAAAUAUAAUAUUAAUAACAACUUUAAAUUUAUUAAUUUUAUUGAUUACUAUGGUUAAACACAAGUAAAUUUUUUAAUAUAUAUCAUAUAAAAAAUAUUUAAUAAUUUUUUAUAAUUAAUUACAUAUUAAAAGUAAUUUUUCAUAAUAAUUUGUAAGAAAACAAACACGUAUUUAAUUAUUUUAAUAAUUAAUAUAAUAAAAAAGACUAAAAAUUUUAUACUGAAAUUAUAAUUUUUUUAAUUAUACUAAAAGAGUAUAUAUCAACAUUUAUUAUAUUAAAAUAAUUAUUUAUCCUAAAAUACACAAACUAAAUUAUUGAACUGAAUUAUAUAAAAUUAAUAAAAGAGAAAAUAAAAAUAAAAAACGUGUAAAGAAGGGACAAAAUUAAAUGUGAACACAUAUUUGUAAUUAAUAUAUUUUCGGCUGAUUGAAAAGGUGUUGAUCAGUAUACGACGAAAGUGUCUUUGUCUGCUUGAUGCCAUUUCCAUCACAGUAGAAGUAGCCGACUGCAACUCAUCCUCCAUUACUGUAUAAUUGUUUCAACUUUUCAAGACUGAUUCAUGUGCUUUCACAUUUAUGAUCAAUGUUUUUGGACAGAAACAUGUUGGCUAUAUUAUUCAUUGUUUGGUUAAAUUUCGAUAAGGUUUGAAAUUUCAACGGAUAGGUAGGGAAUAUGAAAUUUGCUACUCUCAAAUUAAAGACUAUAGUACCAUUCUUAUUGUGAGUCGUUGAAAAACUUUAGUAAUUUCGUUAUCAAACUUUUUUCUUUUGCUAGUAAUUUUAUUAAGUUAUGUCAUCUUCUCUUGUUUUAUGUGCUACCACCACCAUUUGUUCUUGUUUUUACUAAUGUAUAAUUAGAACAAAGAAUAAGCUAAUGCAUUUAAAGUAAAAAAAAAAAAAAAAAAAAACAAAAUUAUUAUCAAUUUAUAUUUGAGAAAAACAUAAUUCUCGGUUUAAUUUUCAUUUUUUUCAUCUAUUUUAAAUACUUAUUCACUAAACAUACUAAGUAAAAACCAUUCUAACUAUUCAAACAGUUCAUAUUUAUCAAAAUCAACUAUCCAACAUACAUUAGUGCACAUAACUUUAUUUGCACAAAAAUAGUUCACCUUUAUCAAAAUCAAUUAUCCAACUUUAGCCCACACCACACAUAUAGAUCCAAAUGGCUCAGACAAAUAAAUACAUCUAGACGCUGCUUCUAAAAGACUGGUUUAUCGAAUAGACUGAUGAAUAAAUACAUCCUAUCAUACUUACUACUAAUUUCUUCUCAUUAUAACCAUAUUAGAAACCAAUAUUGUUCAUCAAGUCAUAACAUGAUUAACUUCACUAGUUCCCUGAUUCUCUUUCAUAUCAUAUAGUCUAAAGUGAAGCUUCCUUUGACUCUCACCACGUGGAUAUUUUUCACUAUGUAAGUUGGAUACUAGUAGAGUCGGGAUAAUCUCAUUGACGAAAUCCCUUUCAAUACACUUUGACACACUAAAUAGUAGCAUUUUCAAUUGAAAAUAGGUAUUAGGACUCAAACUGCACAUUAUCAAACCAAACCAAGUUCAAAAAAAUCUACCUUUAUAUAACAUUCAACAUAACUUCCACCCAACACAACAUCCCCACCGCUCACACUCCAAAAUGUAUCAUUUUUCACCCAACGCUUGAAAGCUACCACCUAGCGUCCACACUGCUGCAACUAUGAUGCUCAACGGUGUUCAAGGCCUAACCUAGCGGUAACAAGUCAAUAGUUGGUAUCUUAAGAAAUUUACACUAACACCCAACAAUACCCACACAAACAAAACUGAAACACGUCUAAAAUGCUUUAAAUGUUAAUAUACCAAAGAUAACAUACCCACUUUUAUCAAUAUGAUUCACUUCAUGUUCACAAACUACAUCAAUUCAUUGCUUUCAUCUACUUUAAGUUACCAUCUAUCAAUUAUACAUCAUUACAGACAUAAAUACCCAUAUUGUUGUUCAAGAUAUGAAACCUCAUUCAAAAGAUUUCAAUUCUAUAACACAUCUCUUAUGAAUCUAACCAACUUUCACCCAAAACCCAACAACUAAAAUUGGGAAAAUUGAAUAAGAUAAAAGAUCCUUACACUUACAAAUUUCACAAAGGUACAUGAUACUUUUAUAAUCGGUGCAACAUAAUAAUUCAAGACAUACAUGCACACUAAAACACUAAUUACCAAUAUGAUAUAUAUUCUAAAGUUAUUUAAAGUUUCAAACACAUUAAAAGGAUUCUAAACCUAGUGCAAAAAUCACAUACAAAUUUACUUACAUCAAAUAUACUAAUUUCUCAAUAAUUGAUAGAGACAAAGGUCCAACCAAAACUCAACCCUUCUCAAUACCAUUCUAUUAUAUAUUGCCACAGUACUCAAAACAACCAAAAACCAAAUUUCUCUUCUUCCUUCAAUAGUUUCACAAGUUCGACAUUUAGAUUUUCUUUAUUAAGCCAACAUCAAAAACAAUUUUGCACGUCUGCUACAUUAAUCACAAAUAUAGUCCAAUCUAAAUUUCUCAAUCAAAUUUUGUGCAUCGUAGAUUUCCAUGCAUAUAAUUAUGAAUACAAAUUAAAAAUAAACUAAAUGAUUAGUUUUCCUUACCUUAAAGAAAAUUCUUAGUGCUACUUUUCUCCUACACAACUUCAAAAUGUAUAAUUGCUCUAUCUAUAUAUACAACCGAAAAAGAGCCUCAUGGAAGAGAUAAAACAUAUUACUUUAACGAAAAAGAGACAAAAAUUGAAAUUACUCAAAAGAUGAAAUUGAUCGAUACAAAAUGUUCCUUAGCUCCUCAAUUUCAACAUGAUGCAUUUUGAUUUUGAAAAAUAUGAGAAAUUAAAGGUGAAAUUUGAGAGAGAAGGGAGAAAAAUGGUUGAAAGAAAAGAAAAAAUUUUAUAGUGUGUGUGGGGUUUACAAUAUGUAUGAGUAACUUCUCCAAGCCCUUCUAUAAGGGCUAUUUUAUAAUAUAGCAGUUGCUUCCAACAUUUCCUAAAAUUAUAGUUAUUAGUUGUGUUCAAUAUAGUAAAAAGUAUGUGAAGUACACAGGAACACACUAGAGAGAAGGGAGGUGAAGAGUGUUUUCAAAACAUUUUCACAAAGUAGCAUCUAAAUAACUUGUAAUGAGAAUAUAUAAAGGUGUACUAUGCUUUGACGCUGGUUUUAUGGGAUAGGUAAAUAAGAAUAGGUUCAGACGAUGGCAUUUCAAAAGAAUUUGUAAAAGCUUUAAGGGGAAAAACAAUAAAGUGCAAUUUUUAUACUAGUUCACUCAAUCUGAGCUAUGUCUAGUUCUCUUUUAAAAAUUCUUAGGGGUUUCAAUAAUCUUAUCAAAGAUUGCACAAGUUUAACCCACUCUUGGUUGCAAGUAUUCUUACACCACUCCUGGUCUCCUAGUCAACACAACUAGUCCGAGUUUAGUCUCUCUAAGAUAUAACCCUAUACAACACGUCUAGACUGAGUUUACCGACUCCUGGUUGUAAGUAUUCUUACACCACUUUUGGUCCCCUAUUUAACACGAUUAAUCCAAGUUUGACUUCUCUAAAAUCUAACACUAGACAACUGUCUAAACGAGUUUACUCACUCUUGGUUGCAAGUAUUAUUUUUCACUCCUAACACCCGAGUAUUUUAACCAUUCCUAGUUUACAAGUGUAUGAAUACAAAAUGGAAAUAACUCUUUUAGAAAGGAUGUUUAAUGAGAACAAAAUAUUCCGAAGUUCUUGUAAUUGCUCUCUCUCUAAUCAAAUGACAUAGGCUUAGAGCAAGACGCAUUUCUGUUGUUGACUCUCCAGUUUUCUCUCCUCUUGAUUUUUUUUUUUGCAUUAGACGCUAUGAGCACGAAGACAAACAUCAGAGUAGAUUUUCAAUAAGGUUUUCUUUUCUUUUCUUCUCUUCUCUUUUCUUUUUUGAAAGCUUUGAAAACUUUCAUGAUGGAAAACUUAGAGUUCUAUAAAAUUUAAGAAAUAAGAAAGAAAUUGAAAUCAUAGAAAGAUCCACAACAUUUCGCAAAAUUUUUGACAAGUGCUCAAUACUUCAAUUAUAACUAAUCUACUUUUGUAUUUAUGUAAAAAAAAUUGAAUUUUUAAAAUUUUACAUAAUAGGAUGAAGUCAUACAUGGGUUAAAGUCAUUUUAGAUAGUAUGACUGCAACUGAAUCAAAUUUCUCUUAUUUGAAGUUGUACGAGGUUACAUGACUUCUAUUUUUUAUUUUUUUAUUUUCUUAACGUGAAGUUAUUAUAGGUUUAUUUAAAAACAUUAUUUUAAUAUUAUAGUUGAAGUCAUAUGAAACGGUAUAACUUCAACAUUUUUUCUAAGUGAAGUCAUCAUGUUUAUGAAAACCUCAAUUCAAAAUAUUUUUUUUGGUACCGAAGUAGUUUUAAUUUUGUUUGAAGUAAAGUGAUUUUUUUAUUUUUUAUUUUAUUAUGUUUGAUGAUAUUUUAUUUUGUUUUUAUUUAAUUAAUUUAAUAUAGUAGUAUACUAUAUGAGUAGUAGGGUAGUAGAAAGUGUUUUUGUUUUGUUGUAUCCGACAGUGGUCGAAUUCAGAUUAGAAUUAACGAUAAAGUUUGGAGAAUGGUGUAAUAGUAUAGAAAAAAGUAAGUGGGAGAGAUAAACACAGAGGCUAUUAUUAAGUGGGAGAGAUACAAAAUGGGACCAGUGGGCAUAGAAAAAUGCACACCAAAUGUUUGACAUUUGACAGAGUGACAGAGGGAACGAUAAAUGAAUAGGAUUGAGACGUGCGUGAAGGCUGACUAUAAAAGGAGAUGAAUGAGUGAGUAAGAUGCAGAAGCAAUAACAGAAUGAAGAUGGCUAAUUCUCUCUUAACUUUGGUUGUGUUGCUCCUUUUGGCUCUGAUUCUGACCCCUCAAGGGCUUGCUGCUGAAUCUGAGUCUGACAGCUUCUACAAACCACCCCAUAAGUAUAAGCCACCCAUCCACAAGCCAAGACCACCAAUUUACAAGCCUAAACACAAACCAAAGCCAUACCACAAGCCCCCUUAUGGUAAGCACCCACCCGUUGAAGAAAAUGGUCACUUCUAAACCAUGCAACGUAUCAAGUUAUCUAUCUCCUAAAUAAAAACACUUUCAUCUUUGUAGUGCCUCCAUCAAUAAUCAUUUCAAUCAUCUUCUCUCUCUCUUUCCAUGAAUCUGUAACCAGAAUAUCUAUCAUGCUUUUGUACUCUCACUUCAUAUAUAAAAUGUCUUUUAUGCUUUCCUCGUUCUUUGCUUUUUCUUCUUUCUUUCAUUUUCUAUCAGACACCAUCUUCAACGUCAAGUUUGAAAAAUUAUGCUUUACGAGUAUAACCACCAUUCCACUGUAAGAACACUCUAAUUAAUUAACUUGUUAAUUAUAUCUAUUGUUCCGGUGAUAAUUUUUGGGGACCGAGACACUAACCUGGAUGACGUGGCUUUCCCGCUUUCUGACGCUUGGACUGGUCGGAUUGCUCGCUUUUCCUGGAUCUUGACCGCUCGCUUUCCUUCACCCUUGACCGUUCGGUAGUCUUCAAGCUUUGACCGAAGGGGGAGGUACCUGCAAAAGGCACUCCGACGCCCAAGUCAGGCGUGUGAUGGAAGAACCUCGGUUCUUAAUUGAAUAUUUAGUGAAGGGUUUUCACUAUUUGAGAAUAUGAGUUGAAUGUGAAUGAAGUGUGAUUGGAAGUUGAUUCGAAGGUGAUUCGAAGAUACCUGGCUUGUNNN
This 32717-nucleotide long non-coding RNA is filed under the name Vigna radiata. RNAcentral describes it as "long non-coding RNA (VRAD_LNC003976)". Lineage: Eukaryota; Viridiplantae; Streptophyta; Magnoliopsida; Fabales; Fabaceae. The record is from RNAcentral.